AGAGUUUGAUCCUGGCUCAGGAUGAACGCUGGCGGCAUGCCUAAGACAUGCAAGUCGAACGGAGCGGCCCAUUGAAGACGGAGUGCUUGCACAAAGUUGGAUUUGGAUUCCCGCUCAGUGGCAGACGGGUGAGUAACACGUGGGUAAUCUACCUCAGAGACUGGGAUAACGUUUGGAAACGAACGCUAAUACCGGAUAAUUCACAGAUACAAAAGUAACUGUGCUAAAAGGAGCUACGGCUUCACUUUGAGAUGAGCUUGCGGUGUAUUAGCUAGUUGGUGAGGUAACGGCCUACCAAGGCGACGAUCAGUAGCCGGACUGAGAGGUUGAACGGCCACAUUGGGACUGAGAUACGGCCCAGACUCCUACGGGAGGCAGCAGUCGGGAAUAUUGCGCAAUGGAGGAAACUCUGACGCAGUGACGCCGCGUAUAGGAAGAAGGUUUUCGGAUUGUAAACUAUUGUCGUUAGGGAAGAUAAAAGACAGUACCUAAGGAGGAAGCUCCGGCUAACUACGUGCCAGCAGCCGCGGUAAUACGUAGGGAGCAAGCGUUAUCCGGAUUUAUUGGGUGUAAAGGGUGCGUAGACGGGAAAUUAAGUUAGUUGUGAAAUCCCUCGGCUUAACUGAGGAACUGCAACUAAAACUGGUUUUCUUGAGUGCGGGAGAGGAAAGUGGAAUUCCUAGUGUAGCGGUGAAAUGCGUAGAGAUUGGGAGGAACACCAGUGGCGAAGGCGACUUACUGGGCUGUAACUGACGUUGAGGCACGAAAGUGUGGGGAGCGAACAGGAUUAGAUACCCUGGUAGUCCACGCGGUAAACGAUGAAUGCUAGGCGUAGGGGGUAUCGACCCCUCCUGUGCCGGAGUAAACACAAUAAGCAUUCCGCCUGGGGAGUACGGCCGCAAGGUUGAAACUCAAAGGAAUUGACGGGGGCCCGCACAAGCAGCGGAGCAUGUGGUUUAAUUCGAAGCAACGCGAAGAACCUUACCAGGUCUUGACAUCGAGGAAAACUCAUAGAGAUAUGAGGUCCCUUCGGGGGUCCGAAGACAGGUGGUGCAUGGUUGUCGUCAGCUCGUGUCGUGAGAUGUUGGGUUAAGUCCCGCAACGAGCGCAACCCUUAUCUUCAGUUACUAACGCGUGAUGGCGAGGACUCUAUUGGGACUGCCGGGGACAACUCGGAGGAAGGUGGGGACGACGUCAAAUCAUCAUGCCCCUUAUGACCUGGGCUACACACGUGCUACAAUGGUCGUUACAGAGAGAAGCGAAAUCGCAAGGUAGAGCGGAUCUCAAAAAAGCGAUCCCAGUUCGGAUUGUGGGCUGCAACCCGCCCACAUGAAGUCGGAGUUGCUAGUAAUCGCGGAUCAGCAUGCCGCGGUGAAUACGUUCCCGGGCCUUGUACUCACCGCCCGUCA
RNAcentral lists this ribosomal RNA (1409 nucleotides) under uncultured bacterium. Its description in RNAcentral is "bacterial SSU rRNA". It matches the Rfam family "Bacterial small subunit ribosomal RNA". The record is from RNAcentral.